AAUAAACAUGAGUCAAGAAAGACCAUCAAAAUCCAAAAAAAAGACAGGCGCAACAUACAUAAAAGUUGGAACUAUGGCAUCUUUGGCAAACCAAAUAAGGAGUUCGUUUGGCCAAAAAAUAUACUAUUCCUGCUAGACAAUGAAAUAAAGAGCGCCCGAAUAUGAUUGAAGAGAAUCUGCUACUGCCGCAAUAUCCAGGAGUAAUAACACAGGUACAAUCUAUAUCAAGUACUCAUGCAACACAAGUAGUAGAGGAACAAGUUCAAGUGGAUUCUACAACUCCUAUUGCAGAUGAAAAAUGUGAAGAACCCAGGACCUUCUGUUCAAACAAGAAAAAGAGGUAACUCCUUACAUAUUGGAACUCUGAAAAAUUCCAGAUAUGUAUAUUUCUUUCUUCUUUCUU
Molecule: long non-coding RNA, 403 nt
Organism: Nicotiana attenuata
Lineage: Eukaryota; Viridiplantae; Streptophyta; Magnoliopsida; Solanales; Solanaceae
Exons: 2
Source: RefSeq, a predicted model, not a curated record